This 253-nucleotide ribosomal RNA is filed under the name uncultured bacterium. RNAcentral describes it as "partial 16S ribosomal RNA". It matches the Rfam family "Bacterial small subunit ribosomal RNA", at positions 524 to 776 of the family's 1533-position model. The record is from RNAcentral.
UACGGAGGAUGCGAGCGUUAUCCGGAUUUAUUGGGUUUAAAGGGAGCGUAGGUGGAUUGUUAAGUCAGUUGUGAAAGUUUGCGGCUCAACCGUAAAAUUGCAGUUGAAACUGGCAGUCUUGAGUACAGUAGAGGUGGGCGGAAUUCGUGGUGUAGCGGUGAAAUGCUUAGAUAUCACGAAGAACUCCGAUUGCGAAGGCAGCUCACUGGACUGCAACUGACACUGAGGCUCGAAAGUGUGGGUAUCAAACAGG